AUUGAACGCUGGCGGCAGGCCUAACACAUGCAAGUCGAGCGGUAGCACAGAGAGCUUGCUCUCGGGUGACGAGCGGCGGACGGGUGAGUAAUGUCUGGGAAACUGCCUGAUGGAGGGGGAUAACUACUGGAAACGGUAGCUAAUACCGCAUAACGUCGCAAGACCAAAGUGGGGGACCUUCGGGCCUCAUGCCAUCAGAUGUGCCCAGAUGGGAUUAGCUGGUAGGUGGGGUAACGGCUCACCUAGGCGACGAUCCCUAGCUGGUCUGAGAGGAUGACCAGCCACACUGGAACUGAGACACGGUCCAGACUCCUACGGGAGGCAGCAGUGGGGAAUAUUGCACAAUGGGCGCAAGCCUGAUGCAGCCAUGCCGCGUGUGUGAAGAAGGCCUUCGGGUUGUAAAGCACUUUCAGCGGGGAGGAAGGCGGUGAGGUUAAUAACCUCACCGAUUGACGUUACCCGCAGAAGAAGCACCGGCUAACUCCGUGCCAGCAGCCGCGGUAAUACGGAGGGUGCAAGCGUUAAUCGGAAUUACUGGGCGUAAAGCGCACGCAGGCGGUCUGUCAAGUCGGAUGUGAAAUCCCCGGGCUCAACCUGGGAACUGCAUUCGAAACUGGCAGGCUAGAGUCUUGUAGAGGGGGGUAGAAUUCCAGGUGUAGCGGUGAAAUGCGUAGAGAUCUGGAGGAAUACCGGUGGCGAAGGCGGCCCCCUGGACAAAGACUGACGCUCAGGUGCGAAAGCGUGGGGAGCAAACAGGAUUAGAUACCCUGGUAGUCCACGCUGUAAACGAUGUCGAUUUGGAGGUUGUGCCCUUGAGGCGUGGCUUCCGGAGCUAACGCGUUAAAUCGACCGCCUGGGGAGUACGGCCGCAAGGUUAAAACUCAAAUGAAUUGACGGGGGCCCGCACAAGCGGUGGAGCAUGUGGUUUAAUUCGAUGCAACGCGAAGAACCUUACCUGGUCUUGACAUCCACAGAACUUUCCAGAGAUGGAUUGGUGCCUUCGGGAACUGUGAGACAGGUGCUGCAUGGCUGUCGUCAGCUCGUGUUGUGAAAUGUUGGGUUAAGUCCCGCAACGAGCGCAACCCUUAUCCUUUGUUGCCAGCGGUCCGGCCGGGAACUCAAAGGAGACUGCCAGUGAUAAACUGGAGGAAGGUGGGGAUGACGUCAAGUCAUCAUGGCCCUUACGACCAGGGCUACACACGUGCUACAAUGGCAUAUACAAAGAGAAGCGACCUCGCGAGAGCAAGCGGACCUCAUAAAGUAUGUCGUAGUCCGGAUUGGAGUCUGCAACUCGACUCCAUGAAGUCGGAAUCGCUAGUAAUCGUAGAUCAGAAUGCUACGGUGAAUACGUUCCCGGGCCUUGUACACACCGCCCGUCACACCAUGGGAGUGGGUUGCAAAAGAAGUAGGUAGCUUAACCUUCGGGAGGGCGCUUACCACUUUGUGAUUCAUGACUGGGGUGA
RNAcentral lists this ribosomal RNA (1463 nucleotides) under uncultured Klebsiella sp. RNAcentral's name for it is "bacterial SSU rRNA". It matches the Rfam family "Bacterial small subunit ribosomal RNA". Lineage: Bacteria; Pseudomonadati; Pseudomonadota; Gammaproteobacteria; Enterobacterales; Enterobacteriaceae. The record is from RNAcentral.